RNAcentral lists this ribosomal RNA (700 nucleotides) under Escherichia coli. RNAcentral's name for it is "partial 23S ribosomal RNA". It matches the Rfam family "Bacterial large subunit ribosomal RNA", at positions 353 to 1056 of the family's 2925-position model. Lineage: Bacteria; Pseudomonadati; Pseudomonadota; Gammaproteobacteria; Enterobacterales; Enterobacteriaceae. The record is from RNAcentral.
CGCGAUACAGGGUGACAGCCCCGUACACAAAAAUGCACAUGCUGUGAGCUCGAUGAGUAGGGCGGGACACGUGGUAUCCUGUCUGAAUAUGGGGGGACCAUCCUCCAAGGCUAAAUACUCCUGACUGACCGAUAGUGAACCAGUACCGUGAGGGAAAGGCGAAAAGAACCCCGGCGAGGGGAGUGAAAAAGAACCUGAAACCGUGUACGUACAAGCAGUGGGAGCACGCUUAGGCGUGUGACUGCGUACCUUUUGUAUAAUGGGUCAGCGACUUAUAUUCUGUAGCAAGGUUAACCGAAUAGGGGAGCCGAAGGGAAACCGAGUCUUAACUGGGCGUUAAGUUGCAGGGUAUAGACCCGAAACCCGGUGAUCUAGCCAUGGGCAGGUUGAAGGUUGGGUAACACUAACUGGAGGACCGAACCGACUAAUGUUGAAAAAUUAGCGGAUGACUUGUGGCUGGGGGUGAAAGGCCAAUCAAACCGGGAGAUAGCUGGUUCUCCCCGAAAGCUAUUUAGGUAGCGCCUCGUGAAUUCAUCUCCGGGGGUAGAGCACUGUUUCGGCAAGGGGGUCAUCCCGACUUACCAACCCGAUGCAAACUACGAAUACCGGAGAAUGUUAUCACGGGAGACACACGGCGGGUGCUAACGUCCGUCGUGAAGAGGGAAACAACCCAGACCGCCAGCUAAGGUCCCAAAGUCAU